UACAGAGGUCCCAAGCGUUGUUCGGAUUCACUGGGCGUAAAGGGUGCGUAGGCGGUCGGGUAAGUCUGAUGUGAAAUCUCACAGCUUAACUGUGAAACUGCAUUGGAUACUAUUCGGCUUGAGAGUUGGAGGGGGGGACUGGAAAUUCUUGGUGUAGCAGUGAAAUGCGUAGAUAUCAAAGAGGAACACCAGUGGCGAAGGCGAGUCCCUGGACAACUUCUGACGCUGAGGCACGAAAGCUAGGGGGAGCAAACAGG
RNAcentral lists this ribosomal RNA (257 nucleotides) under uncultured bacterium. RNAcentral describes it as "partial 16S ribosomal RNA". It matches the Rfam family "Bacterial small subunit ribosomal RNA", at positions 524 to 776 of the family's 1533-position model. The record is from RNAcentral.